CCUGACUGUGCAAAGGUAGCAUAAUAAUUUGCCUUUUAAUUAGAGGAUAGAAUGAAUGGUUUAAUAAGGUAUGGCUGUCUUACAUAUAUUUAUUAAAAGUUGAUUUUUAGGUUAAAACGCCUAAAUAAAAUUAAAAGACGAGAAGACCCUAUUAAGCUUAAGAGAAGUGUAUAAUUAGUACUAUACCAAAAAUGUCAGGUUAUUAAUGGAACUUUUGUUGGGGCGACAUGGGAGCAAAACAAACCUCUCUUAAAAAAAUAAAAUUUGAUUUAUGAUCCAAAAAUUUUGAAUUAAAAACAAGUUACUAUAGGGAUAACAGCGUAAUUUUAUUUGAGAGCUCUAAUCGAAAAUAAAGUUUGCGACCUCGAUGUUGGAUUAAGAAGUAAUAAAGGUUGCAGAAGCUUUUAUAAUUAGUCUGUUCGACUAGUAAUAUCUUACAUGAUCUGAGUUCAAACCGGA
This 459-nucleotide ribosomal RNA is filed under the name Plectostoma christae. RNAcentral's name for it is "partial large subunit ribosomal RNA". It matches the Rfam family "Bacterial large subunit ribosomal RNA", at positions 1941 to 2620 of the family's 2925-position model. Lineage: Eukaryota; Metazoa; Mollusca; Gastropoda; Architaenioglossa; Diplommatinidae. The record is from RNAcentral.